Long non-coding RNA from Hydractinia symbiolongicarpus, 2542 nucleotides. RefSeq lists it as uncharacterized. The record is from RefSeq and is a predicted model, not a curated record. Lineage: Eukaryota; Metazoa; Cnidaria; Hydrozoa; Anthoathecata; Hydractiniidae. The transcript has 2 exons.
UAUUGCUAAACCUGUUAACGGUGAGUAAGUGAAAGGAUUACUUUAUGUCUUAUAUGAAAUUAAACUUAGGACGGUUCCGGGAGUUGAUCCAAAGGCGCAAUACACCAUUCUCCGAUUUCAGCUUGUUCUGUAAAAUACAUAAUUACUGCGUGGGACCUCGGCACUAAUCUACAUUUUCGUAUGUAAACAAAGCUACGAUGGCACUGAAGGGUCACACUUACAAAAAAAAUUGAGACUUCUAUUCAAAAAAUUUAGACUUCUGUUUAAAAAAACAAAAACUCGUAUACAAAUAAUUGAAGUAACUAAUAUUGAAAAACAUGCAAACUUCUAUUCAUAAUAGUAGAAACUUUCAUUGAAAAAUUCAAAAAACUUCUGUAAAAAAAAAAUUGCGAACUUCUGUAAAAAACUUUGAAACUUCUAUAACUUUUUUUGAAAGGUUCUAUCGGCUACCGUAAAAUUAAUGAUACUAAAUUAUAAACAAACAUGGACGCCGUGCUGGAGCAAAUUGUACGCAGCCAGGUAGAAUCGUACAUGAUGAAUACUUCAAAGUCAACAGCAAGUAGUUAUUGUAAUGCAAACAACCCCGAUGACGGUUGUUCAAGUUCUUCGAGCACUAGUAGUGCUAACAAAAAACGGAAAACAGAAACUCGUCUUGGCAACUUAUUGUCAAGAGUUCGUCAAAAGGCCUCAUCAUCCUCUUCGAAAAGUUACACACCUCGAAAGAUCAAAAAAGUACAAGUGAAAUGGGAGCGACAUAAGGAUCGGAAGGAUAGGAAGGAUACGAAAUAGUAAAACACAAAGAUGGCGGUGGAUAUCGAUUCACCAAGGUGGAAGUUGGAACACCAUUGAAUUUUGAAGAGCUUAAAUACAAACCUUUGAAGUUGUAUUUUGACCAAAAUGACUGUAAUAGUUACAUAGAGGCAGAAUCAGAGUGCAUGAAGUCGUUAUGUGGUCCAAAUGGGGAAACAUUAGAUGAAGAUGAAGACCUUUGGGCAUACAUUGAAAGGAAAGGUCUAUUUUUAUGGAAGUGUUGGUUUGUUUUAUCAACUAAAUCUGUAGCAUAUGACCAUGAUAACGGGUAUGAAGAAGCUGGUCAGGAAACUUUGAGUAAACAAAAUGAUUACUUGAAACUUUCACUGAGAACUUUUGCCAUGCAAUAAUAGUACCAAAGGAAAUUAGCAGGCGACGUAUAUGUUCUGUUUGUAAUUGCAGCUAUAUCGGAAACCAAUUAUUAUUUGCAUCCAAAAUAAUGAGUAUAGUGCUUCUUGUAUUGCAGAUAUCAACUUGAACUUGUUUGGCAAUUUGUUUGAACCUUCCUGUGUUGAUGAUGAUCAAUAGCUAUAGCAACCAGUGGGAACGAGCCUUUGAAUUUGGAUAAUGCAAGCGCAAGUUCUGAUGUUACAGACGUAGUACGGCACAUUGCUAAAAUACACCGCAUGACGAUAAAGAAAGAGUUGAUGGAUUUAUUUAUUACUAAGCAGAUCAAUGUGACAGAUGACAUCCAAUAUAUAUGGAUUGAUCCUCGUGGCCAAGAAGAAAAUGGUGCAGGGUCAAGUGUUUCUCGGGAUAUUUAUUCUUCAUUCUGGAAUGAAGUAUACAAUGCAUGCUUUUAUGGCGAGCAAGAAAGAGUGCCACAAAUGAUUUGUGCAAACAAGAGUGGUGUGCAAUUGGCAUGAUCAUUUUAAAGGGGUAUGUUGACACUGGUUACUUUCCAAUCAGUUUGAGUCGAGCAUUUUUAUGUUUUUGUUUGUUCGGAGAAGUUCCAGAAAAGCUACUGAUAUCUUCAUUCCUGAAAUACUUGUCAUCAGAUGAAAGUCAGUUGGUGACAAAAGCCAUUGGUAAAAACGAAGGUGAGAAUGUUAUUCACAGUGAUGAAUUUGCUGAAAUUUUGGAACAAUUCAAAUGCAAAACUGUAGUAACAGAAUGAAAUGUGUAAUCAGUUAUCAUUGAAUUAGCUCGCCAGGAACUUGUACAGAAAAGUCACAUUAUAGCCUCAUGUUGGGAAGUUGCCUUUUCAGAACUUUAAAAGAAGCCAGAAUUUUCAUCCAUGGAGAAUAUUGUGAAGUUUUAUGAAAGAUUGGAACCAACCACAAAAAAGGUUGUAGCCUUGGUCAAAAAUGUCCAUACGAGUAGCAGUGCUGAACAAGACUCAUUCAAUUAUUUAAAGCGGUAUGUGAGAGGUUUGGAAACCAUUAUGUUGAAAAAAUUUAUGAAGUUCAUAACAGGCUCAGAUAACAUGGUUGUUGAUACAGUAGAAAUAAUUUUCACGCGACCGCAAUCGAAUUUUAGUCGUAGACCAGUAGCUUACCAAGCUUAGAACUUCCUUCAACUUAUAAUAAUUAUUGCGAACUCCGUAAAGAAUUCAGCAAGAAUUCUGAAUGGGAGCUGGACAUCAUUUAAACUGAUUUUGGAUCCUUUUUUGUUUUGUUGUUAUGUUUGAACUGACACAGAAUAGAGUUUCCAGUAUUCUGUUUUGUUAACACUUUUUUAUACAAUUUUUAAGAGGGUUUUUAGGUCCAAUAAAAAACUUUGUUUCGAUUUA